RNAcentral lists this ribosomal RNA (536 nucleotides) under Bacillus sp. KH2. RNAcentral describes it as "bacterial SSU rRNA". It matches the Rfam family "Bacterial small subunit ribosomal RNA", at positions 1 to 522 of the family's 1533-position model. Lineage: Bacteria; Bacillati; Bacillota; Bacilli; Caryophanales; Bacillaceae. The record is from RNAcentral.
UGGAGAGUUUGAUCCUGGCUCAGGACGAACGCUGGCGGCGUGCCUAAUACAUGCAAGUCGAGCGGACUUGUUAGAAGCUUGCUUCUAACAAGUUAGCGGCGGACGGGUGAGUAACACGUGGGUAACCUGCCUGUAAGAUGGGGAUAACUCCGGGAAACCGGAGCUAAUACCGAAUAACACUUUCGCUCGCAUGAGCGGAUGUUAAAAGACGGUUUCGGCUGUCACUUACAGAUGGACCCGCGGCGCAUUAGCUAGUUGGUGAGGUAACGGCUCACCAAGGCGACGAUGCGUAGCCGACCUGAGAGGGUGAUCGGCCACACUGGGACUGAGACACGGCCCAGACUCCUACGGGAGGCAGCAGUAGGGAAUCUUCCGCAAUGGACGAAAGUCUGACGGAGCAACGCCGCGUGAGUGAUGAAGGUUUUCGGAUCGUAAAACUCUGUUGUUAGGGAAGAACAAGUAYGAGAGUAACUGCUCGUACCUUGACGGUACCUAACCAGAAAGCCACGGCUAACUACGUGCCAGCAGCCGCGGUA